AGGGAAUCUUGCGCAAUGGGGGAAACCCUGACGCAGCGACGCCGCGUGAGUGAUGAAGGACUUCGGUUCGUAAAGCUCUGUCGCAUGGGAAUAAUUUUGAAGGUACCAUGUAAGAAAGGAUCGGCUAACUUCGUGCCAGCAGCCGCGGUAAGACGAGGGAUCCAAGCGUUGUUCGGAAUCAUUGGGCGUAAAGCGGACGUAGGCGGCUUUUCAAGUCGGAUGUGAAAUCCCUGGGCUUAACCCAGGAAGUGCAUUCGAUACUGUUAAGCUUGAGUGUGGGAGAGGCUAGUAGAAUUCCUGGUGUAGUGGUGAAAUACGUAGAUAUCAGGAGGAACACCGGUGGCGAAGGCGGCUAGCUGGCCCAACACUGACGCUGAGGUCCGAAAGCGUGGGGAUCAAAC
RNAcentral lists this ribosomal RNA (401 nucleotides) under uncultured bacterium. RNAcentral describes it as "bacterial SSU rRNA". It matches the Rfam family "Bacterial small subunit ribosomal RNA", at positions 356 to 773 of the family's 1533-position model. The record is from RNAcentral.